AACGUAGACAGCUGCAGUAGCUGUGAGAGAAGUGUGUCCAUGAUGACGUCACGCACAGAAGCUGUUCGUAGCAAAACUAUUAAGUUGCUCUACAUUAUAUUUAUGUACCUUUGUCUCGACCAAUAUUUUUAGGUAAUCUACAAAAGAAAAUUCCCUGAAUACGACUAUCAGUAUACAGUCGGCUGUGCUGUCCAAAUACUGCCAUUGUUCUAAUGACUGCAUUAUUCUGAUUAAUAAUAGGAGAAACAAAUACAUAAAUCUGUGUUCUUAACUUCAAAAUACUAUAUAAUCCCGACUGCAGUACGUAGUUUUCAUUUCAAAAUGAAGCAGUUCGUGUUUUGUUUGAGUAUUUUUAUCUUCAUUAUAUUCUUGGCUAACAGAGAAGUAAUGGCCCAAAGUAAUGAGGGAGAAAUACAAGGAACUCGUCCUAAGGAACAUCUCCUACAAUCAUCUCCUGUCAAUGUUGUUAUACCAGGUCCUAUUUUGUCAGCUGCUGAUGAGGUUGAAAGAAUAAGUAAUGGUAAACGCUAAAUACCACUUCCCAUAUCUAACCAAAGAAGAAGAAAACAACUCGCAGUUGCCUGAAUCUUGUGAUGGUUAAUAAAUAAUUGUUUUGCUGAAUAUGUGUUUGCUUAUUGCUUUAGUCGAUCAGAUCGGAAGAGC
RNAcentral lists this long non-coding RNA (663 nucleotides) under Androctonus crassicauda. Lineage: Eukaryota; Metazoa; Arthropoda; Arachnida; Scorpiones; Buthidae. The record is from RNAcentral.